GGGCCAUUAGCUCAUCUUGGUAGAGCACCUGACUCUUAAUCAGGGGGUGGGAGGUUCGAGUCCUCCAUGGCCCA
RNAcentral lists this transfer RNA (74 nucleotides) under Candidatus Aceula meridiana. RNAcentral's name for it is "tRNA-Lys". It matches the Rfam family "tRNA". From Rfam's summary of the family: Transfer RNA (tRNA) molecules are approximately 80 nucleotides in length. The record is from RNAcentral. Lineage: Bacteria; Pseudomonadati; Candidatus Omnitrophota.